CUGAAAUGGCAGAAAAAAUCCUUAAGGAAAGCACAUAAUGAGAUAAAAUCCUGCACCUACUCAGGAGACUUUUAAAAUUUGACAGAGCUUAACUUCCAGAUUGAGAGAAGAUUUACUUGAUGGACCACAGCAAUGCUGGCUGUGGAGCUGGAGUUUAUCUGGAGACUUUUCAACCAAGCUGCUAAGGAGAGUGAAGCACACAAGCAAGCCUGCUGCCAAAUCUAUUUUAGGCCAGUGAGCUGCUAGCCGGGACCGGGAGCCGGGAGCAGGGAGCCGGCUGGACGCGCGGACAGGCCCGGCGAGCGCG
Balaenoptera acutorostrata (minke whale) is the source of this 307-nucleotide long non-coding RNA. RefSeq lists it as uncharacterized. The record is from RefSeq and is a predicted model, not a curated record. The transcript has 3 exons. Lineage: Eukaryota; Metazoa; Chordata; Mammalia; Artiodactyla; Balaenopteridae.